Molecule: ribosomal RNA, 464 nt
Filed under: uncultured bacterium
Lineage: Bacteria
Description: bacterial SSU rRNA
Rfam family: Bacterial small subunit ribosomal RNA
Source: RNAcentral
GGAGGAAGUAGGGGAUCGAAAGACCUUAUGCUUUUGGAGCGGCCGAUGUCUGAUUAGCUAGUUGGUGGGGUAAUGGCCUACCAAGGCGACGAUCAGUAGUUGGUCUGAGAGGACGACCAGCCACACUGGGACUGAGACACGGCCCAGACUCCUACGGGAGGCAGCAGUGGGGAAUUUUGGACAAUGGGCGAAAGCCUGAUCCAGCAAUGCCGCGUGAGUGAAGAAGGCCUUCGGGUUGUAAAGCUCUUUCAGUUGAAAAGAAAAGAUCGUGACUAAUAAUCGCGAUUCAUGACGGUAUCAACAGAAGAAGCACCGGCUAACUACGUGCCAGCAGCCGCGGUAAUACGUAGGGUGCAAGCGUUAAUCGGAAUUACUGGGCGUAAAGGGUGCGCAGGCGGUUCUGUAAGUCAGAUGUGAAAUCCCCGGGCUUAACCUGGGAAUUGCGUUUGAAACUACAAAGCUAG